RNAcentral lists this transfer RNA (60 nucleotides) under Myrcia citrifolia. RNAcentral's name for it is "partial tRNA-His". The record is from RNAcentral. Lineage: Eukaryota; Viridiplantae; Streptophyta; Magnoliopsida; Myrtales; Myrtaceae.
UAGAAAUACUAGUAAUAGUAGGGGCGGAUGUAGCCAAGUGGAUCAAGGCAGUGGAUUUGU